CAGCAGCCGCGGGUAAUACCAGCGGUCCGAGUUGCAAUCAAUUUUAUUGGGUCUAAAACAUCCGUAGCUUGUUUUGUAAGUCUCUUGUGAAAUUUCAUGUCUCAAGCAUGAAGCGAGCAAGAGAGACUGCAAGGCUAGAGACCGGGGGAUGUGAGGAGUACGUCCAAGGUAAUAGUAAAAUAUUUUAAUCUUGGACGGACUAACAAUAGCGAAGGCACCUCACAACAACGGAUCUGACAGUGAGGGAUGAAGGCUAGGGUCGCAAAACGGAUUAGAUACCCGUGUAGUCCUAGCAGUAAACACUGCACACUAAACCUUGUGAUCUCCUCGAGAGAUUGCAGGGCUGUAGGGAAGCUGAAGAGUGUGCUACCUGGGAAGUAUAGCCGCAAGGUCGAAACUUAAAGGAAUUGGCGGGGGGGCACUACAACGGGUGACGCGUGCGGUUCAAUUAGAUAACACCCCGUGAACCUCACCAGGAGCGACAGCAGAAUGAAGGUCAGUCUAAAGGGCUUACCUGACACGCUGAGAGGAGUUGCAUGGCCGACGUCAGCCUGUGUCGUGAGAUGACCUGUUAAAUCAGGUAACAGGCGAGACCCGCAUGCAUAGUUGCUACGUUAAGAGGACUCUAUGCAGACUGCCUUGGUAACAAGGAGGAAGGUGCGGACAACGUUAGGUGAGUACGGCCCGAAUCCCCUGGGCUACACGCGCGCGGCAAUGCUACACUCAAUGAGAUGCGACUCUGAAAAGAGGAGCUAAUCCCUAAUAUGUAGCUUAGUUCAGAUUGAGGUUUGUAACUCAACCUCAUGACGAUGGAAUCCGUAGUAAUCGUUCGUUAGCAGCAAACGGUGAAUAAGUCCCUGCCCCUUGCACAC
This 872-nucleotide ribosomal RNA is filed under the name uncultured archaeon. Its description in RNAcentral is "bacterial SSU rRNA". It matches the Rfam family "Archaeal small subunit ribosomal RNA", at positions 459 to 1344 of the family's 1478-position model. The record is from RNAcentral.